Molecule: transfer RNA, 88 nt
Filed under: Deltaproteobacteria bacterium HGW-Deltaproteobacteria-15
Lineage: Bacteria; Deltaproteobacteria
Description: tRNA-Leu
Rfam family: tRNA
About the family: Transfer RNA (tRNA) molecules are approximately 80 nucleotides in length. Their secondary structure includes four short double-helical elements and three loops (D, anti-codon, and T loops).
Source: RNAcentral
GCCGGAGUGGUGAAACUGGUAGACGCGCUGGACUCAAAAUCCAGUGACCCAAAAGGUCGUGUCGGUUCAAGUCCGACCUCCGGCACUA